Molecule: ribosomal RNA, 253 nt
Filed under: uncultured bacterium
Lineage: Bacteria
Description: partial 16S ribosomal RNA
Rfam family: Bacterial small subunit ribosomal RNA
Source: RNAcentral
UACGGAGGGGGCUAGCGUUGUUCGGAAUUACUGGGCGUAAAGCGCACGUAGGCGGACUGUUAAGUCGGGGGUGAAAUCCUGGGGCUCAACCUCAGAAUUGCCUCCGAUACUGGCAGUCUCGAGUGCGGGAGAGGUGAGUGGAAUUCCCAGUGUAGAGGUGAAAUUCGUAGAUAUUGGGAAGAACACCAGUGGCGAAGGCGGCCUGCUGGGCAGUUUCUGACACUGAGGCGCGACAGCGUGGGGAGCAAACAGG